RNAcentral lists this non-coding RNA (30 nucleotides) under Mus musculus (house mouse). The record is from RNAcentral. Lineage: Eukaryota; Metazoa; Chordata; Mammalia; Rodentia; Muridae.
UUGCUGGUGCUUUGCCUUAAGGGCCAGAAG